CACCUUUAUGCAAAAAGCGGGGGUCUAUUUAAACUGCCAGGACCCCUCUCUCCGGUUAGCUAACUCUGACUGUUGCUGCUCGUUUAGCUUUACAGAAACAAGUCGGCUGCUGCUGCUUUUUUUGGUUUGUUUGUUUGUUUUUCGGAGGAAGUGAUGCCGAAGGGUUGCGCCGCGCUCAGAGGCCUUCCGCCGCCGGCCUCGUCGGCCGUGGUCUCUUUCUUGAGAACCGGACCGCACCGCUCCUAAAACUUUUCUCUGUCCGCCUGGGCUUGCAGGGGAUCCUUCACCUCACCCCAACGAAGCUAUACCUUGGCUUUCAGCUCAGCCCUAAGCAUGUGAUUCCCUGACUUAAAUAGGGUACCUCUGUGGAGAUUUAUAGCCAUCCAACUACUAAGCCUCAGGUAUAUCUCAUCAAAAACCACAUCUAUAUCCGCAGGUGAAGGCCACAAGAUAUCACUGAAAGCCCCAGAUGAAAUCUAGUAAGCGGAAAUAAGGUGAAGAAUAUUUCUAAUAUUUCUGAUCAGUGUUAUGAUUGCAAUUUA
Xiphias gladius (swordfish) is the source of this 542-nucleotide long non-coding RNA. RefSeq lists it as uncharacterized. Lineage: Eukaryota; Metazoa; Chordata; Actinopteri; Istiophoriformes; Xiphiidae. The record is from RefSeq and is a predicted model, not a curated record. The transcript has 3 exons.